CUUUCGGCGAUUCUGGCCAGUCUUCCGGCCGACAAGAUACUCUUUUCUCUAAGACCACACACAUGCUUCAAUUUCUUACAAGAAAAUAGAAGAAUUAAGUUUCAAGUGUGGGUUUUGAAUCAACUCUAGAGAAGAGUUUGAUUUCUUGAAUUGAAGACACUAACAAGCUUCAAGGGUUCCUAUGAGUACGGGAAUGUCGGUGGGCCGAGUCAGGAUUUCAUAUGUGCUCGAAGCACCAUGCGCUGAUGUCGUUGGGUUGUUCAGGAUCCUGAUAUGUAUAGGGAUGCCAGUGGGCCAAGUUAGGAUCUCGUAUGGUGUGGUUAUCUACUUGUGUUGGUGUAUAUGAUGUUAGCUAUCAUAUUGUUGCAUUUGUGCCUUUCUUUACUAUUUCAUC
Tripterygium wilfordii is the source of this 394-nucleotide long non-coding RNA. RefSeq lists it as uncharacterized. The record is from RefSeq and is a predicted model, not a curated record. Lineage: Eukaryota; Viridiplantae; Streptophyta; Magnoliopsida; Celastrales; Celastraceae. The transcript is spliced from 3 exons.